GACGGGGUGGCCGAGUGGUUCAAGGCGGCGGUCUGACAAACCGCAUAUGCGGGGUUCAAUUCCCGCCCCCGUCUCCA
RNAcentral lists this transfer RNA (77 nucleotides) under Chloroflexota bacterium. RNAcentral describes it as "Chloroflexi bacterium tRNA-Val". It matches the Rfam family "tRNA". From Rfam's summary of the family: Transfer RNA (tRNA) molecules are approximately 80 nucleotides in length. Their secondary structure includes four short double-helical elements and three loops (D, anti-codon, and T loops). The record is from RNAcentral. Lineage: Bacteria; Bacillati; Chloroflexota.